CUCAACCGUAGAAGUGCCUUCGAAACUGCUGCUCUUGAGUCCCAGAGAGGUCGCUGGAAUUCGUGGUGUAGCGGUGAAAUGCGUAGAUAUCACGAGGAACACCAGAGGCGUAAGCGAGCGACUGGAUGGGUACUGACGCUGAGGCACGAAAGCGUGGGGAGCAAACAGGAUUAGAUACCCUGGUAGUCCACGCCGUAAACGAUGGAUGCUAGACGUUGUCCCGUUUAUAGGGGCAGUGUCCAAGCUAACGCGUUAAGCAUCCCGCCUGGGGAGUACGAUCGCAAGGUUGAAACUCAAAGGAAUUGACGGGGGCCCGCACAAGCGGUGGAGCAUGUGGCCUAAUUCGAUGCAACGCGAAGAACCUUACCCAGGCUCGAACGCUACCGGACCGCUCCUGAAAGGGAGCUUCCCGUAAGGGCUG
RNAcentral lists this ribosomal RNA (421 nucleotides) under uncultured Bacteroidota bacterium. RNAcentral's name for it is "bacterial SSU rRNA". It matches the Rfam family "Bacterial small subunit ribosomal RNA", at positions 608 to 1029 of the family's 1533-position model. Lineage: Bacteria; Pseudomonadati; Bacteroidota. The record is from RNAcentral.